This 379-nucleotide ribosomal RNA is filed under the name uncultured cyanobacterium. Its description in RNAcentral is "bacterial SSU rRNA". It matches the Rfam family "Bacterial small subunit ribosomal RNA", at positions 376 to 770 of the family's 1533-position model. Lineage: Bacteria; Bacillati; Cyanobacteriota. The record is from RNAcentral.
CGAAAGCCUGACGGAGCAACGCCGCGUGGGGGAAGAAGGUUCUUGGAUUGUAAACCCCUUUUCUCAGGGAAGAAGUUCUGACGGUAUCUGAGGAAUCAGCCUCGGCUAACUCCGUGCCAGCAGCCGCGGUAAUACGGAGGAGGCAAGCGUUAUCCGGAAUCAUUGGGCGUAAAGCGUUCGUAGGCGGCUGUUCAAGUCUGCUGUCAAAGCACGGGGCUUAACUCCGUUAAGGCAGUGGAAACUGAAUGGCUAGAGUGCCGUAGGGGUAGAGGGAAUUCCCGGUGUAGCGGUGAAAUGCGUAGAGAUUGGGAAGAACACCGGUGGCGAAAGCGCUCUACUGGGUCGCACCUGACCCUCAGGGACGAAAGCUAAGGUAGCG